UACGUAGGGUGCGAGCGUUAAUCGGAAUUACUGGGCGUAAAGCGUGCGCAGGCGGUUCGUUAAGUUCGUUGUGAAAGCCCCGGGCUCAACCUGGGAAUGGCAAUGGAAACUGGCGAGCUUGAGUGUGGCAGAGGGGGGUGGAAUUCCGCGUGUAGCAGUGAAAUGCGUAGAGAUGCGGAGGAACACCGAUGGCGAAGGCAGCCCCCUGGGCUGACACUGACGCUCAGGCACGAAAGCGUGGGGAGCAAGCAGG
RNAcentral lists this ribosomal RNA (253 nucleotides) under uncultured bacterium. Its description in RNAcentral is "partial 16S ribosomal RNA". It matches the Rfam family "Bacterial small subunit ribosomal RNA", at positions 524 to 776 of the family's 1533-position model. The record is from RNAcentral.